AUGGCCGAGGCCAUCCGGGACGAUCAUCGCGGCGCGGUCGACGACGACACCGGCCUGCGCCCGACCAACAACGGCGACAGCACGUGGGAGAUAGAGGAGCUGGAGCCGGACGACCGGACGGCCGGACCGCCUCCUCCCCCUCCUCCCGGGGCAGCGGCCACCUCCGACGCCGACGACGUGUACGUGGCGGUGGGCAAGGGUGGGUCCAGCAUGGCGGCGCUGUCGUGGGCGCUGACGCAGCUCGCGAGGCCGCGGAGCUUCGUCUACCUCGUGCACGUCUUCCCCGUCGUCGCCACCAUCCCCACCCCAUUAGGAAUGAUGCCUAAGAGACAAGCAACCCCAGAGCAAGUAGAAACUUACAUGAACCAAGAGAGAUCCAAGAGGAGAGAGAUGCUGCAAAAAUUUCUGGAGCACUGUCGCAACUUUCAGGUUAACGUCGAUGUGUACCUCAUCGAGAGUGAUCAAAUCGCCGAUGCCGUCGCUGAACUUAUCCCUGUUCUGAAUAUAAAGCAGCUAGUACUCGGGGUUGCAAAAUCCAACUUGCGGAAGUUGAAGAAAGGGAACACAAUAGCAGGACAGAUACAGAAGAAUGCACCUCUCUACUGCAAAGUCAAGAUUGUCUGUGAUGACAAAGAAGUUGCAGUGGCGACGGCUGCUGAUCCGACGCCACCAUUUUCACCUUCCCCUGUAAAUAACAACAGCAGAUCUCGCACCCCGACACCGCCAUCAUCUACGCCAAAUAGCGAUAGCAUAGAGGCAGUUGAUGGCAAAAAUGAUAGCAAAACCAAAGAAAGAAGGAAGAUUCCCAAGUUUCUCAGGUGCCUGUCAUCCUGA
Molecule: ribosomal RNA, 834 nt
Filed under: Triticum aestivum (bread wheat)
Lineage: Eukaryota; Viridiplantae; Streptophyta; Magnoliopsida; Poales; Poaceae
Description: partial small subunit ribosomal RNA
Source: RNAcentral